AUUGAACGCUGGCGGCAUGCCUUACACAUGCAAGUCGAACGGUAACGAGCCUUCGGGUGCCGACGAGUGGCGAUCGGGUGAGUAAUACAUCGGAACGUGCCCGAUCGUUGUGGAUAACGAGGCGAAAGCUUUGCUAAUACCGCAUACGAUCUACGGAUGAAAGCAGGGGACCGCAAGGCCUUGCGCGGACGGAGCGGCCGAUGGCAGAUUAGGUAGUUGGUGGGAUAAAAGCUUACCAAGCCGACGAUCUGUAGCUGGUCUGAGAGGAUGAUCAGCCACACUGGGACUGAGACACGGCCCAGACUCCUACGGGAGGCAGCAGUGGGGAAUUUUGGACAAUGGGCGCAAGCCUGAUCCAGCCAUGCCGCGUGCAGGAUGAAGGCCUUCGGGUUGUAAACUGCUUUUGUAAGGGACGAAAAGCCUUCUUUUAAUACAGGAGGGUCAUGACGGUACCGGAAGAAUAAGCACCGGCUAACUACGUG
Molecule: ribosomal RNA, 482 nt
Filed under: uncultured bacterium
Lineage: Bacteria
Description: partial 16S ribosomal RNA
Rfam family: Bacterial small subunit ribosomal RNA
Source: RNAcentral